Long non-coding RNA from Macadamia integrifolia, 484 nucleotides. RefSeq lists it as uncharacterized. The transcript has 2 exons. Lineage: Eukaryota; Viridiplantae; Streptophyta; Magnoliopsida; Proteales; Proteaceae. The record is from RefSeq and is a predicted model, not a curated record.
CCACAUAGCAGUAGACAGGGUUGAUUCAAUUUAUUUCUUAUGGCUUCAAGCCAAACAUGCUUUAGUGGCUUACGCGAAUCCACCAAAGACAAGGGAUUCUAUCCUUCCAUCCUCCCAUUUCCAUCAUUUCCUACUUCUCAAAUUCAGUAGAGCAAGGGAGCAAUUGUACUUGGAUUUCCUACUGUAGAUACAAGAAGAAGAACUGGUGCUGAGGUAGGAUUUCAUUUCAGUGGCGGUUGUGAGGCUUUCGUCAACGAGACACUGGGAUGCUGAUGGACAUCACUUCUACUAUUUUGAUUAUUGCCCUUAUAUAUAUUUAUGUAAGGUGUAAUUAUUGUAACAUGUGGUUGUAAACAAAUGUGUCUUGUAUAUUUGUUAUUUAUCAUUUAGUGAAUCACUAGUAGUAGGGUAAAUGUAUAAUGAUUUAUAUGCGUAAUCUAAUCUUAGUCGUGAUUUUGGUGACAAUUAUGGAUUAAAUUAUUGC